Molecule: non-coding RNA, 110 nt
Filed under: bovine gut metagenome
Description: FMN riboswitch (RFN element)
Rfam family: FMN riboswitch aptamer (RFN element)
About the family: The RFN element is a highly conserved domain that is found frequently in the 5'-untranslated regions of prokaryotic mRNAs that encode for flavin mononucleotide (FMN) biosynthesis and transport proteins. This element is a metabolite-dependent riboswitch that directly binds FMN in the absence of proteins.
Source: RNAcentral
UUUUUCGGGGCAGGGUGAAAGUCCCUACUGGCGGUAAAGUCCGCGACCCGCUUCGGCGGCUGACCCGGUGCAACUCCGGGACCAACAGUUAAAGUCUGGAUGGAAGAAAA